UUUACCUACGGGACGCAGCAGUGGGGAAUAUUGCACAAUGGGGGAAACCCUGAUGCAGCGACGCCGCGUGAGCGAAGAAGUAUUUCGGUAUGUAAAGCUCUAUCAGCAGGGAAGAAAAUGACGGUACCUGAGUAAGAAGCUCCGGCUAAAUACGUGCCAGCAGCCGCGGUAAUACGUAGGGGGCAAGCGUUAUCCGGAUUUACUGGGUGUAAAGGGAGCGUAGACGGUGAGACAAGUCUGAAGUGAAAGCCCGGGGCUCAACCCCGGGACUGCUUUGGAAACUGCCUGACUGGAGUGCUGGAGAG
RNAcentral lists this ribosomal RNA (305 nucleotides) under uncultured bacterium. Its description in RNAcentral is "bacterial SSU rRNA". It matches the Rfam family "Bacterial small subunit ribosomal RNA", at positions 334 to 656 of the family's 1533-position model. The record is from RNAcentral.